UACGAAGGGGGCUAGCGUUGCUCGGAAUGACUGGGCGUAAAGGGCGCGUAGGCGGUCCGACAAGUCAGGGGUGAAAUCCUGCAGCUUAACUGCAGAAGUGCCUUUGAUACUGUCGGUCUUGAGGGAGAUAGGGGUGUGCGGAACUCACAGUGGAGCGGUGAAAUGCGUUGAUAUUGUGAGGAACGCCGGAGGCGAAAGCGGCGCACUGGAUCUCUUCUGACGCUGAGGCGCGAAAGCUAGGGGAGCAAACGGG
Molecule: ribosomal RNA, 253 nt
Filed under: uncultured bacterium
Lineage: Bacteria
Description: partial 16S ribosomal RNA
Rfam family: Bacterial small subunit ribosomal RNA
Source: RNAcentral